GGCCCGGCCGGCAGCCCGCCGGAACCCGUCUGGGUCCCCAACUCUCCUGCCCCUCCCCGCGCCGUUCCAGGGCGGAGUCUGUGGAGUUGAAACCAGGACACGGCGAGAGGAAGAGUUAUAUAACCGGGAGAAGCCGGGAAGGACGCGCGGAGAGCAGGGCGCGCGGCCCGAGGGGAGCCCCGGGAGCUCGCAGAGCGCGAGAGCAAGCGCGGAAGGAACGUUAGGGGUGGGAGGAUUUCGGGGUGCACCAAGGAGGAAGCCGCGCGGAUGAGGGGCGGCAGGCCCGGCGGGAGUCACCCGGGCCGCCCGGGGCUUCCCUGCAGCGUCCUCCCCGUCGCCCACGGCCGCCGAGCCCGAGUGCGAACAGCCGGGGAAGGGGCGCCGAUACCCGGUCCGCUCCUCCUGAGGAGGCAACUGGAGCCCAAGCCCGGGAAAGGCGGCGGCGGAGCAGAAGGGGCCGGAAACCACAGCUCCGCCCAGCCCACCUGGGAGAGUGGGGCGCCAGCUAGGGUGCGGUGGGAAACAGGCCUGAAGUGGAUCGUGGGCAUGAGGCAGACAAGCUGCAUGGGCUCUGCCUCCACCAAGCAGGAGUUCUUCCUAUCCCAGCCGGCACCCUCCAGGGCAGCCCUGGUGGCUCAGUGGUUUAGCGCUGCCUUCCACCCAGGGCGUGAUCCUGGAGACCUGGGAUGGAGUCCCACAUGGGGCUCCCUGCAUGGAGCCUGCUUCUCCCUCUGCCUGUGUCUCUGCCUCUCUCUCUCUCUCUCUCUCUCUCUCUCUCUCUGAGUGUGUGUCUCUCAUGAAUAAAUAAAUAAAAUCUUA
Long non-coding RNA from Nyctereutes procyonoides (raccoon dog), 819 nucleotides. RefSeq lists it as uncharacterized. The transcript has 3 exons. NCBI's taxonomy places the organism in Eukaryota, Metazoa, Chordata, Mammalia, Carnivora, Canidae. The record is from RefSeq and is a predicted model, not a curated record.